This 458-nucleotide ribosomal RNA is filed under the name uncultured bacterium. RNAcentral describes it as "partial 16S ribosomal RNA". It matches the Rfam family "Bacterial small subunit ribosomal RNA", at positions 338 to 795 of the family's 1533-position model. The record is from RNAcentral.
CCUACGGGUGGCAGCAGUGAGGAAUAUUGGUCAAUGGGCGGGAGCCUGAACCAGCCAAGUCGCGUGAAGGAAGAAGGUACUUAGUAUUGUAAACUUCUUUUGUCGGGGAACAAAGGCGGAGACGCGUCUCCGGAUGAGUGUACCCGAAGAAAAAGCAUCGGCUACCUCCGUGCCAGCAGCCGCGGUAAUACGGAGGAUGCGAGCGUUAUCCGGAUUUAUUGGGUUAAAAGGGUGCGCAGGCGGGAGAGCUAGUGAGGGGAAAAAUGACGGGGUUCAACACCGCCCGGCCGUGGAAACUGGGUUUCUAGAGUUGGGGAGAAGUAAGCGGAAUUCGUGGUGUAGCGGUGAAAUGCAUAGAUAUCACGAAGAAAUCCGAUUGCGAAGGCAGCAUACCGGCUCCAUACUGACGCUGAGGCACGAAAGCGUGGGGAUCGAACAGGAUUAGAUACCCCGUAGUC